RNAcentral lists this long non-coding RNA (590 nucleotides) under Setaria italica (foxtail millet). Its description in RNAcentral is "long non-coding RNA (SITA_LNC000303)". Lineage: Eukaryota; Viridiplantae; Streptophyta; Magnoliopsida; Poales; Poaceae. The record is from RNAcentral.
GGUCUUCCAUUAGUAGUAAUCUAAGUUUUAGGUUCCGCAUUAUCAAAGAUCCUAGAAAGUAAACUGCAAUAGAAAAACCCUGCACAUUUCAAUGAAUGUUUGGUUCCUUUUAUCUCUUCCUUUAUAACAGAUCAUGUGGAUACAUGACAAACAAAUCGCUUCUAGCAAACUGCUUGAAAUAAGUACUAAGCGUGCAAAACAGAAUAUCAUAUUUUCAUGUUUAUCUACACAGUCGCCAGAGGGCAUCUCAUUUUUAUUUAUUUUGAAGCCAGAUCUCCUCAAUUCUAAACAUGAAUUGAAACGAAGGAAACGACUAAUGAGGGGGGCCAGGGACUGACGUCAUCCUAGGCGGUGACGAGGUGCUCAGGCGAGAGGCCCUUGGCGCGCUCGACGUCGAUGAUGGAUUCCAGCGGCUUCGGCUUCAGCGGGGUGAACCCGCUCGCGAAUUGGGAGUAACCCCUCCGCUGCGGCUACCGGGAGAGGUCGGCUAGCGAGGAAGAUGGCGCUGCAGAAGCCGCCGCGGGAUGCAGCGCCGGUGUGGCCGGUAUGCCUCCAUGGGCGGCGGCCGGGGCGCGGAGAGCGGCGGUGGC